AUAGCUCAUUACAACAGCCUCUGUUUAUUAGAUCUUUUUAUCCUACUUGGAUAACUGUGGCAAUUCUAGAGCUAAUACACGCAUCAAAACUCCGACCUUGCGGAAGGAGUGCAUUUAUUAGACCAAAACCAAUACAGGCUUGCCUGUACUUUUGGUGAAUCUGAAUAACCUUGCCGAGUGAAUGGUCCUUGAACCGUCACCAUAUCUUUCAAAUGUCUGCCUUAUCAACUUUCGACGGUAGUUUAUAUGACAACCGUGGUUGUAACGGGUAACGGAGAAUUAGGGUUCGACUCCGGAGAGGGAGCCUGAGAAACAGCUACCACAUCCAAGGAAGGCAGCAGGCACGCAAAUUACCCACUCCCGGCACGGGGAGGUAGUGACGAAAAAUAACCAGCUGGUUCUCAUUCGAGUCUCAGUAUGGUAAUGACUGAAUAUCUAAAUCCACUCAGGAUGAUCUAUUGGAGGGCAAGUCUGGUGCCAGCAGCCGCGGUAAUUCCAGCUCCAAUAGCGUAUAUUAAAGUUGUUGCGGUUAAAAAGCUCGUAGUUGGAUCUAAGGUCGUGAGCGGCGGUCUCCCAAUGGGUAGUUACUGCUGUCUCAGGCCAAUAUUUUCUGGUUUGCUCUUGGUGCUCUUAAUUGAGUGUCUUGAGUGGCUAGAGCCUUUACUUUGAAAAAAUUAGAGUGCUUAAAGCAGACAACUGUCUGAAUAGUGGUGCAUGGAAUAAUAGAAUAAGACCUCGAGUCUAUUUUGUUGGUUUUCGGUCCCGAGGUAAUGAUUAAGAGGGGCGAACGGGGGCAUCCGUAUUGCGACGUUAGAGGUGAAAUUCUUGGAUCGUCGCAAGACGAACGACUGCGAAAGCAUUUGCCAAGAACGCUUUCAUUAAUCAAGAACGAAAGUUAGAGGUUCGAAGGCGAUCAGAUACCGCCCUAGUUUUAACUGUAAACGAUGCAACCUAGCGAUCUGAGGGCGUUAAAAAUAUGACUCCUCAAGCAGCUUACGGGAAACUAAAGGUUUUAUGUUCCGGGGGAAGUAUGGUUGCAAAGCUGAAACUUAAAGGAAUUGACGGAAUGGCACCACCAGGAGUGGAGCCUGCGGCUUAAUUUGACUCAACGCGGGAAAACUCACCCGGCCCUGACACUGUAAGGAUUGACAGAUUGAGAGCUCUUUCUUGAUUCGGUGGGUGGUGGUGCAUGGCCGUUCUUAGUUGGUGGAGCGAUUUGUCUGGUUAAUUCCGAUAACGAACGAGACUCUAGCCUACUAAAUAGUAAGCGGAUUUUCUAGUCCGUUGACUUCUUAGAGGGACAAGUGGUGUCUAGCCACACGAGAUUGAGCAAUAACAGGUCUGUGAUGCCCUUAGAUGUUCGGGGCUGCACGCGCGCUACACUGAAGAAAACAACGUGCAGUCAUACCUUCUCCGUAAGGAGCGGGUAACCCGUUGAAACUCCUUCGUGCUUGGGAUAGGGAAUUGCAAUUAUUUCCCUUAAACGAGGAAUUCCUAGUAAGUGCGGGUCAUCAUCUCGCGUUGAUUACGUCCCUGCCAUUUGUACACACCGCCCGUCGCUACUACCGAUUGGAUGAUUUAUUGAAGAGUUCGGACUGGUACUGCUGCGGCCUUUCGGUUGCGUCAGUUUCCGGAAA
This 1637-nucleotide ribosomal RNA is filed under the name Dolicholaimus sp. TCR114. RNAcentral's name for it is "SSU rRNA". It matches the Rfam family "Eukaryotic small subunit ribosomal RNA". Lineage: Eukaryota; Metazoa; Nematoda; Enoplea; Enoplida; Ironidae. The record is from RNAcentral.